Molecule: ribosomal RNA, 534 nt
Filed under: uncultured bacterium
Lineage: Bacteria
Description: bacterial SSU rRNA
Rfam family: Bacterial small subunit ribosomal RNA
Source: RNAcentral
GGAUUCGNAUGGGGGAACCCUGACGCAGCACGCCGCGUGGAGGAUGAAGUCCCUUGGGAUGUAAACUCCUUUCGAUCGGGACGAUUAUGACGGUACCGGAAGAAGAAGCACCGGCUAACUCUGUGCCAGCAGCCGCGGUAAUACGUAGGGGGCCAGCGUUGCUCGGAAUUACUGGGCGUAAAGGGUUCGUAGGCGGUGUGGCAAGUCGGAAGUGAAAUCUCCAGGCUUAACUUGGAGACUGCUCCCGAAACUGCCAUGCUAGAGUGCGGGAGAGGCCAGUGGAAUUGCAGGUGUAGCGGUGAAAUGCGUAGAUAUCUGCAGGAACACCCGUGGCGAAGGCGGCUGGCUGGACCGCAACUGACGCUGAGGAACGAAAGCUAGGGGAGCAAACAGGAUUAGAUACCCUGGUAGUCCUAGCCCUAAACGAUCAGGACUUGGGGUGCAUCCCGUUGGGGGUGCGUCCCGUAGCUAACGCGUUAAGUCCUGCGCCUGGGGAGUACGGUCGCAAGGCUGAAACUCAAAGAAAUUGACGGA